RNAcentral lists this ribosomal RNA (985 nucleotides) under bacterium KB53. Its description in RNAcentral is "bacterial SSU rRNA". It matches the Rfam family "Bacterial small subunit ribosomal RNA", at positions 495 to 1474 of the family's 1533-position model. The record is from RNAcentral.
GGCUAACUACGUGCCAGCAGCCGCGGUAAUACGUAGGGCGCAAGCGUUAUCCGGAAUUAUUGGGCGUAAAGAGCUCGUAGGCGGUUUGUCGCGUCUGCCGUGAAAGUCCGGGGCUUAACUCCGGAUCUGCGGUGGGUACGGGCAGACUUGAGUGAUGUAGGGGAGACUGGAAUUCCUGGUGUAGCGGUGAAAUGCGCAGAUAUCAGGAGGAACACCGAUGGCGAAGGCAGGUCUCUGGGCAUUAACUGACGCUGAGGAGCGAAAGCAUGGGGAGCGAACAGGAUUAGAUACCCUGGUAGUCCAUGCCGUAAACGUUGGGCACUAGGUGUGGGGGACAUUCCACGUUUUCCGCGCCGUAGCUAACGCAUUAAGUGCCCCGCCUGGGGAGUACGGCCGCAAGGCUAAAACUCAAAGGAAUUGACGGGGGCCCGCACAAGCGGCGGAGCAUGCGGAUUAAUUCGAUGCAACGCGAAGAACCUUACCAAGGCUUGACAUGAACCGGAACGGCGCAGAGAUGUGUCGGCCACUUGUGGCCGGUUUACAGGUGGUGCAUGGUUGUCGUCAGCUCGUGUCGUGAGAUGUUGGGUUAAGUCCCGCAACGAGCGCAACCCUCGUUCCAUGUUGCCAGCGGGUUAUGCCGGGGACUCAUGGGAGACUGCCGGGGUCAACUCGGAGGAAGGUGGGGACGACGUCAAAUCAUCAUGCCCCUUAUGUCUUGGGCUUCACGCAUGCUACAAUGGCCGGUACAAAGGGUUGCGAUGCUGUGAGGUGGAGCUAAUCCCAAAAAGCCGGUCUCAGUUCGGAUUGAGGUCUGCAACUCGACCUCAUGAAGUCGGAGUCGCUAGUAAUCGCAGAUCAGCAACGCUGCGGUGAAUACGUUCCCGGGCCUUGUACACACCGCCCGUCAAGUCACGAAAGUUGGUAACACCCGAAGCCGGUGGCCUAACCCUUUUGGGGGGGAGCCGUCGAUAGGUGAACCCGUUGU